RNAcentral lists this ribosomal RNA (434 nucleotides) under uncultured bacterium. RNAcentral's name for it is "bacterial SSU rRNA". It matches the Rfam family "Bacterial small subunit ribosomal RNA", at positions 28 to 507 of the family's 1533-position model. The record is from RNAcentral.
GAUGAACGCUGGCGGUAUGCUUAACACAUGCAAGUCGUACGAAGAUCUUUGAUCUUAGUGGCGGACGGGUGAGUAACACGUGAGAAUCUGCCCUUAGGAAGAGGAUAACAGCUGGAAACGGUUGCUAAUACUCUAUACGCCGAGAGGUAAAAGGAUUUAUCCACCUUAGGAAGAGCUCGCGUCUGAUUAGCUUGUUGGUAAGGUAAUGGCUUACCAAGGCGACGAUCAGUAGCUGGUUUGAGAGGACGAUCAGCCACAUUGGGACUGAGACACGGCCCAAACUCCUACGGGAGGCAGCAGUGGGGAAUAUUGGACAAUGGGCGCAAGCCUGAUCCAGCCAUGCCGCGUGAGUGAUGAAGGCCCUAGGGUUGUAAAGCUCUUUCACCGGAGAAGAUAAUGACGGUAUCCGGAGAAGAAGCCCGGCUAACUUCGUG